AAAUAAAAUUGAGAAUGGAAAUGGGGAAUGUGCCAAAGAGACAACAACCCGACCAUUGAAAAAAAACAACAGCAGAAGGUCACCAACAGGACUUCAAUGUGGCGAGAAAUUCCCGCACCCAGAGGCGUUCUUCAGCUGGCCCCUAAACAAAUAUAUACUAGUUCAGUGAUAAUGAACGCCAUACUAAUUUCCAAAUUGUACACAAGAAACUAAAAUUAAAAUAAUACAAGACUAACAAAGGCCAGAGGCUCCUGACUUGGGACAGGCGCUAAAAUGCGGCGGGGUUAAACAUGUUUGUGAGAUCUCAACCCUCCCCCUAUACAUCUAGCCAAUGUGAAAAGUAAACGCAUAACAAUACGC
Molecule: long non-coding RNA, 360 nt
Filed under: Mytilus galloprovincialis (Mediterranean mussel)
Lineage: Eukaryota; Metazoa; Mollusca; Bivalvia; Mytilida; Mytilidae
Source: RNAcentral